RNAcentral lists this transfer RNA (77 nucleotides) under Verrucomicrobium spinosum DSM 4136 = JCM 18804. RNAcentral describes it as "tRNA-Pro (GGG) (tRNA-Pro-GGG-2-1)". The record is from RNAcentral. Lineage: Bacteria; Pseudomonadati; Verrucomicrobiota; Verrucomicrobiia; Verrucomicrobiales; Verrucomicrobiaceae.
CACGCAGAGGCCAAAGCAGACGAGGCACUUGUCCGGGAGACAAGUGGAAGCAGGUGCGAGUCCUGCCUGCGUGACCA